CCUACGGGAGGCUGCAGUAGGGAAUUUUCGGCAAUGGGGGGAACCCUGACCGAGCAACGCCGCGUGAACGAAGAAGUUAUUCGUAAUGUAAAGUUCUUUUAACAGGGAAGCAAGAGAAAUUUGACGGUACCUGAAGAAUAAGCUCCGGCUAACUACGUGCCAGCAGCCGCGGUAAUACGUAGGGAGCGAGCGUUAUCGGGAAUCAUUGGGCGAAAAGGGUGGGUAGAUGGCUUAGUAAGUCUUUUGUAAAAAUGCUGGGCUCAACCCAGUAGGGCAAAAGAAACUGGAAAGCUAGAGUAUGACAGAGGCAAGUGGAACUAGAUGUGUAGCGGUAAAAUGCGUAAAUAUAUGGAAGAACACCGGUGGCGAAGGCGGCUUGCUGGGUCGAUACUGACAUUGAGGCACGAAAGCGUGGGGAGCAAACAGGAUUAGAUACCCUAGUAGUC
This 446-nucleotide ribosomal RNA is filed under the name uncultured bacterium. Its description in RNAcentral is "partial 16S ribosomal RNA". It matches the Rfam family "Bacterial small subunit ribosomal RNA", at positions 338 to 795 of the family's 1533-position model. The record is from RNAcentral.